CAGUGUUUAAAGUAAAUUUUUGGAAGUCAGCUGGAGCCCUAAUGUAGAAAGACUUUGGAAAAACAAAGACAGGCUUCAUGUCUCCCACUGAUGUUACAAGUGAUAAGUGACUUUAAAAAGGUCUGUAAUAUGGCAGGUAUAUGCAGAUUAAAGAGCAGCAUUACUUUCAGGAUUUUAUUUUAGAUUUUGA
Etheostoma spectabile (orangethroat darter) is the source of this 190-nucleotide long non-coding RNA. RefSeq lists it as uncharacterized. The transcript is spliced from 4 exons. Lineage: Eukaryota; Metazoa; Chordata; Actinopteri; Perciformes; Percidae. The record is from RefSeq and is a predicted model, not a curated record.